CAGUAUUUUAAUGAGGACACCUCUGAGUUUCUAUCACCCACUCAGCUCUCUUCUGAUAGGAAGGGAGUUGCAUCGCAGAGCCUUAUCUGAGUUUCCUGCUGAGUGGACAUUCAGAACCAAUUCACACAACGCUUUCGCGAUAUGAGGUGACUUCUGGUGGUUACUGCAUGAUAGAGAUCAAUCUGAAACCUUUUCUUGUCAGGGAAUCCUUAGAAGCAGAAGUGCGAGGGAGAGAGGAGGGCCAGCGAGGCAAACCGGAGGUCACUUUUGCUGGGAAACCCUGGUUUCAUGCAUUCGGACAUACUGGAGUUCCAAAGUCUGCCAGGUUUAACUCUGGUAAAGUAACUAAGUGCUUUGAGAGGUUCAAAUCAUCCACUUUGUACCCAAGCAAGAUUUCAGCCCUACUAAUCAGUAGUGAAACAAACAAACCUCAGAUAACAUCUUUAAAUAAAUAUUCUUCAUGUUUGUU
This is a long non-coding RNA of Hemicordylus capensis (graceful crag lizard), 469 nucleotides long. RefSeq lists it as uncharacterized. The record is from RefSeq and is a predicted model, not a curated record. Lineage: Eukaryota; Metazoa; Chordata; Lepidosauria; Squamata; Cordylidae. The transcript has 3 exons.